RNAcentral lists this ribosomal RNA (253 nucleotides) under uncultured bacterium. RNAcentral's name for it is "partial 16S ribosomal RNA". It matches the Rfam family "Bacterial small subunit ribosomal RNA", at positions 524 to 776 of the family's 1533-position model. The record is from RNAcentral.
UACGUAGGGAGCAAGCGUUGUCCGGAAUCAUUGGGCGUAAAGCGCGCGUAGGUGGCUUCGUAAGUCCGUUGUGAAAGUCAAAGGCUCAACCUUUGAAAGCCGAUGGAUACUGUGAAGCUAGAGUACGGAAGAGGCGAGUGGAAUUCCUGGUGUAGCGGUGGAAUGCGCAGAUAUCAGGAGGAACACCGAUGGCGAAGGCAGGUCUCUGGGCAUUAACUGACGCUGAGGAGCGAAAGCAUGGGGAGCGAACAGG